CUAACAAGGAUUCCCUGAGUAACGGCGAGUGAACAGGGAAAAGCCCAGCACCGAAGCCUGUGGUCAUUUGGUCACUAGGCAAUGUGGUGUUCAGGUCGUUCCAUAGAGGUGCUGCUCCACCCUAAGUCCAGCAAUGAGUACGGUGGUACGGACAUGGCCCACAGAGGGUGAAAGGCCCGUGGGGGUGGAGAUCAGGCAGGCCAGUGCCUCUCUGGGUAGACCUUGGAGUCGGGUUGUUUGUGAAUGCAGCCCAAAGUGGGUGGUAAACUCCAUCCAAGGCUAAAUACUUGCACGAGUCCGAUAGCGAACAAGUACCGUGAGGGAAAGUUGAAAAGUACUUUGAAGAGAGAGUAAACAGUGCGUGAAACCGCUCAGAGGUAAACGGGUGGAGUUGAACUGCAAGCUCUGGGAAUUCAGCUGGUGAGUGUGGUUUGGGCUUGGUCAAGUCGGUUGGACAUUGAGGUCUGCGUAGCGGCAGGUCUUUACCCUCGGGUAAGGAUGCGCGAUACACUUAUCAAGUGUUGUGCGCCUCUUUGUUUAUCGGGCCAAUUCGCCAGUGCACUUUCUCGGAGUGUUCACCACGACCGGCACUGCUGUCUGAUUGCUGUGGUUAAACCGGACUUACAGGGCUCUUGUGGCGUUGUAUGGCCGGGAAGGCAGGUAGCUCGUUGGCUAGCUUGCGGUUUACCGCUGGCGUUCGGUCUUCGAGUGUAAAUAGCUGACCACGAUAUUUCUGUGCAGUGUGUCGGAGACGGCGGCUUUUGGUACGUGCGUGCGUGCUGGUUCUGCUGGCGUGUCCGGGUUUGGUUGCCAUGUUGCUUGUGAAUGCAGGCCUGGCAAUGGUUCGGAUUCGUUUGGUGGGCGGUUGCGUAUGUGGUGCCGUUAAGGGCCAACAGUCUGUGGUGUAGUGGUAGACUAUCCACCUGACCCGUCUUGAAACACGGACCAAGGAGAGUAACAUGUGCGCGAGUCAUUGGGCGUAACGAAACCCACAGGCGCAGUGAAAGUAAAGGCUUGACUUGUUCAGGCUGAGGUGAGAUCCUGUCGUUUUCACGCAUGGUGCCACCAAGCAACGAGCGGCAGGCGCAUCACCGGCCCGUCCCAUGACGUAGACACAUAAUCUUCGGACCAGUGCACCGUCGGGGCGGAGCAUGAGCGUACAUGUUGAGACCCGAAAGAUGGUGAACUAUGCUUGCGCAGGUUGAAGCCAGAGGAAACUCUGGUGGAGGACCGCAGCGAUUCUGACGUGCAAAUCGAUCGUCAAACGUGAGUAUAGGGGCGAAAGACUAAUCGAA
RNAcentral lists this ribosomal RNA (1295 nucleotides) under Paragonimus westermani. Its description in RNAcentral is "eukaryotic LSU rRNA". It matches the Rfam family "Eukaryotic large subunit ribosomal RNA", at positions 65 to 939 of the family's 3401-position model. Lineage: Eukaryota; Metazoa; Platyhelminthes; Trematoda; Plagiorchiida; Troglotrematidae. The record is from RNAcentral.